This 497-nucleotide ribosomal RNA is filed under the name uncultured bacterium. RNAcentral's name for it is "partial 16S ribosomal RNA". It matches the Rfam family "Bacterial small subunit ribosomal RNA", at positions 28 to 507 of the family's 1533-position model. The record is from RNAcentral.
GAUGAACGCUGGCGGCGUGCCUAAUACAUGCAAGUCGAGCGAACGGUCGAGAAGCUUGCUUCUCUGAUGUUAGCGGCGGACGGGUGAGUAACACGUGGAUAACCUACCUAUAGGACUGGGAUAACUUCGGGAAACCGGAGCUAAUACCGGAUAAUAUUUUGAACCGCAUGGUUCAAAAGUGAAAGACGGUCUUGCUGUCACUUAUAGAUGGAUCCGCGCUGCAUUAGCUAGUUGGUAAGGUAACGGCUUACCAAGGCAACGAUGCAUAGCCGACCUGAGAGGGUGAUCGGCCACACUGGAACUGAGACACGGUCCAGACUCCUACGGGAGGCAGCAGUAGGGAAUCUUCCGCAAUGGGCGAAAGCCUGACGGAGCAACGCCGCGUGAGUGAUGAAGGUCUUCGGAUCGUAAAACUCUGUUAUUAGGGAAGAACAUAUGUGUAAGUAACUGUGCACAUCUUGACGGUACCUAAUCAGAAAGCCACGGCUAACUACGUG